AUGUAUCUUCUUUUGUAUUUGAAGAUGUUUAUGUAUAAAGCAAAUGAGAGAAAAGAAUGUAAUGCUUCAUUUUGAGUAAAAGUGUUGUAAAAAGAGACGAUGAAAAGCAAUAUAAUGGAAAAAUGAAAUGUAUAUGAUCGAAAGUGAAUCAUAGCACUUAUGUAGUAGUUAGCUUCCUUUCUGUCACUCAUGGCUAUUGUUUACUGUAACAUGCCCUAUUUUGGUAUAAAAAUAAAAAUAAAUAAAAAUAGUGUGAGAAACUAUUUUUAUUGAAUUUAGAUAAGUAAAAUAUAAGUCAGAAGUGACUUGUGCUGAAAUCGGAAUGAAAAUAGAAGAUUUAGAAUUUUCUGUUGGAAACGGAACAGAUAAAUUAGCAGAAAAUGCACAGUAUUAGAAAAUUAUGAAAACUGGAGGAUAAGUCAGAAUUAUUUUUAUGAGGCUAGAUUUAAAGUUUCAUAUUAUUCUGACACCCGGAAGGUGGAAAAUAAAAUCCGACAACUAUCUGAUAAAGAUUACAGUUCGGUACAGUUUUCGGUGACCAAACGGGGUCGAAACUGAAAUAUUAAAAUUUCUUUGGACUCAUUAAGUAAAACUGAAUAUGACUAUCAAAUUUGAGCUCAAACGGAUAUUCAGGGAGCUCCGACGAAAGAUAUCAGAUUUCGAGCUGCCUGGAGUGAAUAGUGGCUUAAGGGUGUAAUUAUAUAAGAAGACUUGUCUUCUUCUUCUCCUUCAGCCGACCACCCCACACCACCAUCACACGCACGCAUGGAGAGGGGGGAGAAACCCUCUUUUCUCUCUCUAAAGAUCUCUCUCAUCUCUCCAAAUCUCUCUCU
RNAcentral lists this long non-coding RNA (833 nucleotides) under Ananas comosus (pineapple). Its description in RNAcentral is "long non-coding RNA (ACOM_LNC042161)". The record is from RNAcentral. Lineage: Eukaryota; Viridiplantae; Streptophyta; Magnoliopsida; Poales; Bromeliaceae.